GUUACGGCCACAUACAUGAAGAGUUUAACAUUUUAUAGACACUGAUUUGACUGACAUCACUGUCACCCCUCUGUUUUCUAUUGUUUUAUUUCACUUUCUCAUUUCCAUCAUAAUUUUGAUAAGCUGGAGUUUUCUUCUUUUUUUUCUGGGUUGCAAAACAGCUUCUCUGGUUUCGGCAAAAACAGUCACAGAAAAUAUUGAUAUGUUCUCUUGUUCAGUGUGGCCAUUGUGUGUUUUUCAAAAUCAGUGUCUGUCCUUGAUGAGUCACUGUGUUUAUGAGUGAAAUCUACAUGUGGAUGUCGGAGUUAUGGCACACAAGAUUUUCCCUGAUUGCUCAACAAAUCACAAUAAAAAGGAAGCUCAGGGAGCACAACUGAGGACUCAGCACUGCAGUGGGACAGUUUACCAGAGAUCAGUGAACAGACACGUGAGAACAUGAAGACUGUGAUUCUUGCUCUUGUGGUGUUGUUGGUUGUCAGCCAGGGUGAAGCCCUGACGUGUUGGUGUGGAGGUAUAAGGUCAUGUUUAGGCCGUACAGAGACCUGCUCCAUUUCAGAGGAGCGUCUGUGCCAGUGUGUCCUUUGAUCAGUUCCCAAGGAACAACUUCCAUGGUUGUUACAGCGAAGAUGCCUGCAGGCAGCUGAAUCAUCCUGGUAUAGUAUCUUGCAGGUACUGCAAGACCGACAUGUGCCAGUGAUUAAUGAAGC
Epinephelus fuscoguttatus (brown-marbled grouper) is the source of this 707-nucleotide long non-coding RNA. RefSeq lists it as uncharacterized. Lineage: Eukaryota; Metazoa; Chordata; Actinopteri; Perciformes; Serranidae. The record is from RefSeq and is a predicted model, not a curated record. The transcript has 4 exons.